AUUGAACGCUGGCGGCGUGCCUAAUACAUGCAAGUCGAACGAAUUGGCGCACGGGUGAGUAAUAUAUAGUUAAUCUGCCCUACACAGAGGAACCACAGUUGCAAACGACUGCUAAUACUUCAUAUUGUAGGAUGAGACGAUAUCGUAUCAGGUAGUGUGUAAGGUAAUGGCUGACCAAGGCUAUGCCGCGUAACUGGUCUGAGAGGAUGAUCAGUCACAUUGUAACUGAGACACGGUCGAAACGCAUACGGGAGGCAGCAGGAAGGAAUAUUGCGCAAGGGGGGAAACCCUGACGCAGCAACGCGGUGUGGAGGAUGACAAUUUGCGGAGAGUAAACUCCUUUUAUCAGGAAAGCGGUACCUGAUGAAGAAGCACCGGCUAACUCCGUGCCAGCAGCCGCGGUAAUAC
Molecule: ribosomal RNA, 408 nt
Filed under: uncultured bacterium
Lineage: Bacteria
Description: partial 16S ribosomal RNA
Rfam family: Bacterial small subunit ribosomal RNA
Source: RNAcentral